This 253-nucleotide ribosomal RNA is filed under the name uncultured bacterium. RNAcentral describes it as "partial 16S ribosomal RNA". It matches the Rfam family "Bacterial small subunit ribosomal RNA", at positions 524 to 776 of the family's 1533-position model. The record is from RNAcentral.
UACGUAGGUGACCAGCGUUGUCCGGAUUUACUGGGCGUAAAGAGCGCGCAGGCGGUCGUUCACGUCGAGUGUGAAAGCCCCCGGCUCAACUGGGGAGGGUCAUUCGAUACUGAUCGACUCGAAGGCAGGAGAGGGAAGCGGAAUUCCCGGUGUAGUGGUGAAAUGCGUAGAUAUCGGGAGGAACACCAGUGGCGAAGGCGGCUUCCUGGCCUGUUCUUGACGCUGAGGCGCGAAAGCUAGGGGAGCAAACGGG